UUAAGUUAUUAAGGGCGCACGGUGGAUGCCUUGGCACUAGAAGCCGAUGAAGGACGUUACUAACGACGAUAUGCUUUGGGGAGCUGUAAGUAAGCUUUGAUCCAGAGAUUUCCGAAUGGGGAAACCCAGCAUGAGUUAUGUCAUGUUAUCGAUAUGUGAAUACAUAGCAUAUCAGAAGGCACACCCGGAGAACUGAAACAUCUUAGUACCCGGAGGAAGAGAAAGAAAAUUCGAUUCCCUUAGUAGCGGCGAGCGAAACGGGAAGAGCCCAAACCAACAAGCUUGCUUGUUGGGGUUGUAGGACACUCUAUACGGAGUUACAAAGGACGACAUUAGACGAAUCAUCUGGAAAGAUGAAUCAAAGAAGGUAAUAAUCCUGUAGUCGAAAAUGUUGUCUCUCUUGAGUGGAUCCUGAGUACGACGGAGCACGUGAAAUUCCGUCGGAAUCUGGGAGGACCAUCUCCUAAGGCUAAAUACUCUCUAGUGACCGAUAGUGAACCAGUACCGUGAGGGAAAGGUGAAAAGCACCCCGGAAGGAGAGUGAAAUAGAACCUGAAACCGUGUGCUUACAAGUAGUCAGAGCCCGUUAAUGGGUGAUGGCGUGCCUUUUGUAGAAUGAACCGGCGAGUUACGAUUUGAUGCAAGGUUAAGCAGUAAAUGUGGAGCCGUAGCGAAAGCGAGUCUGAAUAGGGCGUUUAGUAUUUGGUCGUAGACCCGAAACCAGGUGAUCUACCCUUGGUCAGGUUGAAGUUCAGGUAACACUGAAUGGAGGACCGAACCGACUUACGUUGAAAAGUGAGCGGAUGAACUGAGGGUAGCGGAGAAAUUCCAAUCGAACCUGGAGAUAGCUGGUUCUCUCCGAAAUAGCUUUAGGGCUAGCCUCAAGUGAUGAUUAUUGGAGGUAGAGCACUGUUUGGACGAGGGGCCCCUCUCGGGUUACCGAAUUCAGACAAACUCCGAAUGCCAAUUAAUUUAACUUGGGAGUCAGAACAUGGGUGAUAAGGUCCGUGUUCGAAAGGGAAACAGCCCAGACCACCAGCUAAGGUCCCAAAAUAUAUGUUAAGUGGAAAAGGAUGUGGCGUUGCCCAGACAACUAGGAUGUUGGCUUAGAAGCAGCCAUCAUUUAAAGAGUGCGUAAUAGCUCACUAGUCGAGUGACACUGCGCCGAAAAUGUACCGGGGCUAAACAUAUUACCGAAGCUGUGGAUUGUCCUUUGGACAAUGGUAGGAGAGCGUUCUAAGGGCGUUGAAGCAUGAUCGUAAGGACAUGUGGAGCGCUUAGAAGUGAGAAUGCCGGUGUGAGUAGCGAAAGACGGGUGAGAAUCCCGUCCACCGAUUGACUAAGGUUUCCAGAGGAAGGCUCGUCCGCUCUGGGUUAGUCGGGUCCUAAGCUGAGGCCGACAGGCGUAGGCGAUGGAUAACAGGUUGAUAUUCCUGUACCACCUAUAAUCGUUUUAAUCGAUGGGGGGACGCAGUAGGAUAGGCGAAGCGUGCGAUUGGAUUGCACGUCUAAGCAGUAAGGCUGAGUAUUAGGCAAAUCCGGUACUCGUUAAGGCUGAGCUGUGAUGGGGAGAAGACAUUGAGUCUUCGAGUCGUUGAUUUCACACUGCCGAGAAAAGCCUCUAGAUAGAAAAUAGGUGCCCGUACCGCAAACCGACACAGGUAGUCAAGAUGAGAAUUCUAAGGUGAGCGAGCGAACUCUCGUUAAGGAACUCGGCAAAAUGACCCCGUAACUUCGGGAGAAGGGGUGCUCUUUAGGGUUAACGCCCAGAAGAGCCGCAGUGAAUAGGCCCAAGCGACUGUUUAUCAAAAACACAGGUCUCUGCUAAACCGUAAGGUGAUGUAUAGGGGCUGACGCCUGCCCGGUGCUGGAAGGUUAAGAGGAGUGGUUAGCUUCUGCGAAGCUACGAAUCGAAGCCCCAGUAAACGGCGGCCGUAACUAUAACGGUCCUAAGGUAGCGAAAUUCCUUGUCGGGUAAGUUCCGACCCGCACGAAAGGCGUAACGAUUUGGGCACUGUCUCAACGAGAGACUCGGUGAAAUCAUAGUACCUGUGAAGAUGCAGGUUACCCGCGACAGGACGGAAAGACCCCGUGGAGCUUUACUGUAGCCUGAUAUUGAAAUUCGGCACAGCUUGUACAGGAUAGGUAGGAGCCUUUGAAACGUGAGCGCUAGCUUACGUGGAGGCGCUGGUGGGAUACUACCCUAGCUGUGUUGGCUUUCUAACCCGCACCACUUAUCGUGGUGGGAGACAGUGUCAGGCGGGCAGUUUGACUGGGGCGGUCGCCUCCUAAAAGGUAACGGAGGCGCUCAAAGGUUCCCUCAGAAUGGUUGGAAAUCAUUCAUAGAGUGCAAAGGCAUAAGGGAGCUUGACUGCGAGACCUACAAGUCGAGCAGGGUCGAAAGACGGACUUAGUGAUCCGGUGGUUCCGCAUGGAAGGGCCAUCGCUCAACGGAUAAAAGCUACCCCGGGGAUAACAGGCUUAUCUCCCCCAAGAGUUCACAUCGACGGGGAGGUUUGGCACCUCGAUGUCGGCUCAUCGCAUCCUGGGGCUGUAGUCGGUCCCAAGGGUUGGGCUGUUCGCCCAUUAAAGCGGUACGCGAGCUGGGUUCAGAACGUCGUGAGACAGUUCGGUCCCUAUCCGUCGUGGGCGUAGGAAAUUUGAGAGGAGCUGUCCUUAGUACGAGAGGACCGGGAUGGACAUACCUCUGGUGUACCAGUUGUCGUGCCAACGGCAUAGCUGGGUAGCUAUGUGUGGACGGGAUAAGUGCUGAAAGCAUCUAAGCAUGAAGCCCCCCUCAAGAUGAGAUUUCCCAACUUCGGUUAUAAGAUCCCUCAAAGAUGAUGAGGUUAAUAGGUUCGAGGUGGAAGCAUGGUGACAUGUGGAGCUGACGAAUACUAAUCGAUCGAAGACUUAAUCAA
This 2921-nucleotide ribosomal RNA is filed under the name Staphylococcus aureus UCIM6070. RNAcentral describes it as "bacterial LSU rRNA". It matches the Rfam family "Bacterial large subunit ribosomal RNA". Lineage: Bacteria; Bacillati; Bacillota; Bacilli; Caryophanales; Staphylococcaceae. The record is from RNAcentral.